Molecule: long non-coding RNA, 288 nt
Filed under: Elaeis guineensis (African oil palm)
Lineage: Eukaryota; Viridiplantae; Streptophyta; Magnoliopsida; Arecales; Arecaceae
Description: long non-coding RNA (EGUI_LNC068222)
Source: RNAcentral
AAGUCAAGAUUGAUUCUAAUGCAAUUUGAUGCAACAAUAUUCUGGUUCAGUGACGGUGGGGCUCGAGAAUAUUUGAUCUGAUUCAAGUGUGAUUAGACGAGAUAGGAAACCUUUCCUAGUAGGUCUUCUUGCCGUAAGACUACACAGUGAUACUGAUAAGCAAUAAAGCAACCUGGCCUAUUAGCUCGGUCAGUGAGAGCAUUAUACUAAUAAGACGAAGGUCUCAUGUUCAAGAUAUACACGCACAAAAAAAAAAAAAAAAGAAGAAAAAAAAAAGAAAAAAAGAAA